This 6415-nucleotide long non-coding RNA is filed under the name Phoenix dactylifera (date palm). RNAcentral describes it as "long non-coding RNA (PDAC_LNC009437)". The record is from RNAcentral. Lineage: Eukaryota; Viridiplantae; Streptophyta; Magnoliopsida; Arecales; Arecaceae.
GUGGGGAAGGAGGAAUGCUCCUCUCGGUUCACGCUGGGCCUUUUAUAGGCUGCAACUUCCCCUCGUUCUUCUCCUCUGUGGCUGAUCCAAAUGGGAGGAUAAGGUCGUGGAAGUUGAUCUGAUCCGAAGGAGGUUGAGAGGAGAUGAGCGUGGGACGUUAGGUGUUGAUGAGGAAUGCUGUUUCGAACGGGAUAUGCGGAAGAAAUCUGGACGCAUAGGAUAAGGAUGAACUCGGAACAGGGGCGCAGAGGAGAUGAUGUUGUUUUGUUGCUGGGAAGAAAUCGGCUGAUAGCUGGGGGGUUUGGAAGUUCAUGAGAUUUGACUUUAUCCCAUGGAGAUGGAAGAUUGGAUUCUCUGAUUCGUGGGAUCUUGGGAAGGAUGCGGAGAAGCUCGGCUGGGAGUGAUUCUGAAACAGGGGAAGGCGUGGGUGAAUGAAGAGAAGUUGAGGAGGUUUGGGAACGGCUGUGAAAUGAUCCGGAAGCUGUUGGGGCUUUGAUCCGAACGUUGGGGAGAAUCUCGGAGGCUGGUAGGAGCUACACUUAUCUAUGGCCGAUGAAGGAUUUGCUGUGAAUGAGGGGGUUUGGGACUUAUCCGAAGCAGGGGAAUGUGCCGUGAAGCUCGGGAGGAUGAAGCUGCAGACGUCGAGCAGGGGAGAUGAACUCUAUUUUGAGGCUAUGAUGAGGAUAAGGAAAUAGACUCGGUUGGUUGUGCUGCCGUUGGUUUGGGCUUAUCCGUGGGACGCGGAAGCUGAUCUUGCGAACGGGAAGAAGCUUGAGGUUGGUUGGCAGCGGGAUAAGGAUGGAAUUGAUCGGCAAGAGAUUGGGAUAGAUUUCGAAAGAGAUUAAUCCAAAACAGGGGAAUGGAAGAUGGCUGGAUACUCUGUUCCGAUUUGGUUUUGGUUGGGAAGAAAUGAAGAUCUUGGAUGACCGAAGCAUGGAGGAAGUGGACGAGAUAGGCUUAGAUGCUGGAUGCGAAGAUCAUGGGAUAUGGCCUGAUCUGUUCAAUGCGAAGGAGAAGCUUAGAUGAUGGCUGGAAACGGAUGCGGAGGAGAUGAGGAUUUGAGUUUAUCAGGCUCUGUUUGAACUGCUCACGGGAUGGGGAGAUGAGUUGGGAUUUAUUCUGAAGAAGGGAUAAGGAUGCUGGGAGAUUGACCUAGAAGAAAAGGAUGGCUUGGUUCUGUUCUUUGAACAUGGGAGGGAGAGUGACGUGGAAGCUUAAUUUCUAAGCACUAAAAGGGUGACGUGGACAUGGGUUCAGCUGCAAAAUCGACCUGCACAAAUUAGUUCAGACAUCAUCCCAAUUAGUUCGACUCGAUCUGCACAUAUUAGAAUUGACCAAUAAAAUCAAGCAAACUCGAAUUAUUUUUAAUAAUGCCAUGAUGAAGGGGAACACAUUUUCUUAUGUUAAAUUCACUCAAUAUAUGAAUUAAAAUAAUGAUAAGUGCUAUGAAUAAGAUAUUAAUUUAUGCAUUAUUUAGCACUUAUCACACCCCCAACCUACAUUUUGCUAGUCCUCAAGCAAAAUAAAAGCUAACUCACUUUGCAGGAAUCGCGAUUGCAUUUACCGUAUGCAAUAAGGCUUUAAAUUCCUAGGUGGCCCUAGUGGACGAGUUUUGUCUCGUGAGGGUUUCCGGCUCAGAUACCCACAAACUGUAGUCGAAAGAAUUUAUUUUAUUGAUUUAUAAAAUCUAAUUUCAAAUGCAUAAGUGCCAAGAAUUUCAAAAGCACACAAAGUUUUAAUUACUAAGUCAGCCCAAAUCCUAGGUCAGUAUGCAAUUUAAGUUGAAGUUAUUAAAUUUCCGUUAGGAAGUUGUAAGAUUUUUUUAUACUUGGGUGCUCGGUGAAAUCUGGACCAUACACAAGCUAAGGCUUUAUAUUCCCCAAAAUACUGCUAAAGCUAGUAGUUUCCAAGAAUUGGUCAGAUAAGACCUAUUCACUGAUUCAAAAUCAUCUUAUCUUGCAGGAUUUCGAGAGUUGUGGAUGUUUACUUUAAUACCUCAAGGGCUUUAUCUGUAAUAUUCCAGUUUACUCGAAUUUUUACAAUGACGGCUUUCACACUAUCAUCUUUUUCAAGGUCAAUAUUAUUUUCCCUUUCUCUUCUUCUUUUUUUUUAAAUUUAUUUAUUUUAUAUUUAUAAAUAAAUUAUGCACUUUUACUCUUGUAAUGAUUCCUCCGUAUAGCGAGCAUUCAGUCAACAACUCUCACACCAAAUAGCAUAAGGUGUUAGGCAUCAAGACUCCCCUACGGAUCUAUGCUCGGGUUCCUCAUACAAGCCCGCUGACCUUUGACAAUAGGUAGCCCUUUUCGAUGUACCUGACUAAAUUCACUUUUUUUUUUGAAUUAUGGGAUAAUAGUGAAUUAGAUAGGAAUGAUUCAUCAGGACUCAAGGUUGCUACCAGGCUUAACAACAUAAUGUUGAACCUAACCCUUAGAAGUGUAGGCCAUGUGUGUUGUGAAAUUUCAAAGUAAAAAUUAUCUUACAACUCGCUAAAAGAACUUUUAAUAAAAAGAACUCAAAUUGUCUUACUCCUGACUAGUCAUUGGGCUUUUUUAGAUUUUAUAUACUUUGUGUGUUUAUCAUUUCAGCACUAAAGCAUAGAAAUUAGGUUUUUUUUUUGAGAUAAACUUAUUUAAAAAUACGAAAAUGUAAAAAUUUCUUUAAAAAUUCGAAUUUCCUAUACCCCCCAACCUAGACCAGACAUUGUCCUCAAUGUUUUUUUUUAUUUUUUAUUUUUUAUUAUUUUUUAAAUAAUAUUAUAUUAUUAUUUUUUAUUUCUAUUGUUUUAUUAUUAUUAUUUUUAUUUUGGACGAAAAUAUGAUGCAUAUGGAGGAUAGAAGCAUUUUACCUUAAUUGCAUCAGUAAUAUGAGGACUCCUGAAAAAUGCGAUAAAUAAAUGUGCAAAAAUAACAUAUGAGAAUUGGGUUGCCUCCCAACAAGCGCUAAGUUUAAUGUCUUCAGCCAGACGCAGUGCAUCCUUAUCAAAUCAUACCGGGUUCAUGCCGAGUUCUCCAAGGAAGAAAAUUUGUGAGAGACUGAUUAUCAGGUAAGAAGUUGACUGCUUCUAUGGCCUUGUCUAUAUCAAAGUCAAAAUGGGCCAAGCAUGCAUUAAAAGAAAAACACAUCAAUUCCUUAUGUUUGCCUUAAAAUCACUAGACAGCUCCUAACUGGUUUGAAGAGGGCACCUAAGCCUCCAAUCCGAUCUAAUGACUGAGUUGACCAGGUAAGCUCCCAGGUAAGUGGGGGGGUCACGAUGCGUUGCAAAGGUUCCACUUAAAAACCACUUGCCUCGAACAGAUGAACUGUCUCCCUUAAAGGGACAAAGCUUGCCUAGACAUCAACUGAGCCACAGAGCGAAAUUGGUGCAACUUUCGGUGAUCUUCGUCCUACUGAGCUCGAAUGUCCCUAGGGGCCAACGUCUAAUUGAUUUUAAUUAAAGUGGUAACUAUGUGAGAAUUGAUUUACCUAAUUUGGGCAAGAAUCUGGUGAUGAAAUCUAGUUCUUAUCUUGUUGGGAUGAUUGCCCAUACUAUGUGCAGAUUAAUUGGUGUAUGUGUAUCAAGCAUGCAUUCACACUUUUGCUGAAAUUAAAAUCAAAUAAUCACUACAAAAGGGAAUUAAUUUAAAUAAGAAAGGUUUAGAGGUUACCAAAGAGAAUUUCCCCAGCAAUUUUUUUUAAUUUAUUUUUUAGGCAAACCUCUACUACAUUUCUUUUCCAGCAGUUUCCUUUUUGACCGUCCCAGAGUUCCUCUUUGAUUCCUGAUCAAAUAAUAUCAAGAGAAAAAUCAAAAAUUAGUAAGAGAAACAAGAGAUGAGGAAAGUAACAAAAAUAGAAAAUAUUUUUAUUUUAUUUUAAAUAUAUAUAUUUUUUUGAAAGUUUUUUUUUAUGAAAAGGAAAACAACUAUGCUAGCAAUGCCCGGCAACGGCGCCAAAAAUUGAUAGUCAACUUUAAAGAUCACGCAAUAGCACGUAUCUAGUAGGAUAGUGAUUACGGGUAUCGAUCCACAGGGAUUGGGGUACAGUUAUUUUUCUUAAAAAUAAAAAAUAUUUAAAAGGAAGAGUUUGUGAAGAAAAUUAAACUAAGGAAUUUAAUAAUGAAAAUGCAAUUAAAAUGAUAUCAGUUUGAGGGAACCUAGGGCAAGAAAUUCACCACUAACAUCGGAACAAGGGUUAUUUAUAAUUUAUUUCAUUCUUGGAUUAAUAUGCAAAUUGGCUACAAGCCUAAUAAGCAUUCGAAUAGAAAUUUAUAAAAGUAAUUUAGGCAUAAUCCAUCUUCAGUUGGCAUGAAAUGUCUACCCUAAUCUAAGGUGGCAGCACAUCGCAUCUUCCCUAAGCAUGGACUAUCUUAUAUUUACCUAGUGAUCAUGAAGAGCAGUUGUACGAACAUCAUACUUAAAAUCACUGAAAUUAAAUAUGAUUCAAAAGAAGAUAUCCAUUAAAAACAAUAAGUUCAUACAACCCCAAGAAUAUAAAAUAAAAUAUAAAACCCGUGUCUCUUUGUUAGGGCUGCAUCCAGCCCUAGAGAGGAGCUCAGGCUUCCAUGCAGUGGUAGACGGUAGCAGCAGCACAGCAGCAGGCUCCCAUUUCUAUCACGAUCGGCUUCCUCUGCCUCAGCACUUCAUUUUUUUCUUUCUUGUGAGAAGGCAUUCCCAAAAAGACCCAAACUCUUCCCUCUCCUGUUAUUUCAUCUUCUUCCGUGGGAACUUCACCUGUGAACCCGAGCUUGCCUUCCUCCCGGUUGGAAAAAGGAGGAAUGGGAGCAGUCCCCGGUGGGAAAGAAGGAAUGCUCCUCUCGGUUCACGCUGGGCCUUUUAUAGGCUGCAACUUCCCCUCGUUCUUCUCCUCUGUGGCUGAUCCAAAUGGGAGGAUAAGGUCGUGGAAGUUGAUCUGAUCCGAAGGAGGUUGAGAGGAGAUGAGCGUGGGACGUUAGGUGUUGAUGAGGAAUGCUGUUUCGAACGGGAUAUGCGGAAGAAAUCUGGACGCAUAGGAUAAGGAUGAACUCGGAACAGGGGCGCAGAGGAGAUGAUGUUGUUUUGUUGCUGGGAAGAAAUCGGCUGAUAGCUGGGGGGUUUGGAAGUUCAUGAGAUUUGACUUUAUCCCAUGGAGAUGGAAGAUUGGAUUCUCUGAUUCGUGGGAUCUUGGGAAGGAUGCGGAGAAGCUCGGCUGGGAGUGAUUCUGAAACAGGGGAAGGCGUGGGUGAAUGAAGAGAAGUUGAGGAGGUUUGGGAACGGCUGUGAAAUGAUCCGGAAGCUGUUGGGGCUUUGAUCCGAACGUUGGGGAGAAUCUCGAAGGCUAGUAGGAGCUACACUUAUUCAUGGCCGAUGAAGGAUUUGCUGUGAAUGAGGGGGUUUGGGACUUAUCCAAAGCAAGGGAAUGUGCCGUGAAGCUCGGGAGGAUGAAGCUGCGGACGUCGAGCAGGGGAGAUGAACUCUGUUUUGAGGCUGGGAUGAGGAUAAGGAAAUAGACUCGGUUGGUUGUGCUGCCGUUGGUUUGGGCUUAUCCGUGGGACGCGGAAGCUGAUCUUGCGAACGGGAAGAAGCUUGUNNNNNNNNNNNNNNNNNNNNNNNNNNNNNNNNNUCGGCAAGUGGUUGGGAUAGAUUUCGGAAGAGAUUAAUCCAAAACAGGGGAAUGGAAGAUGGCUGGAUACUCUGUUCCGAUUUGGUUUUGGUUGGGAAGAAAUGAAGAUCUUGGAUGACCGAAGCAUGGAGGAAGUGGACGAGAUAGGCUUAGAUGCUGGAUGCGAAGAUCAUGGGAUAUGGCCUGAUCUGUUCAAUGCGAAGGAGAAGCUUGGACGAUGGCUGGAAAUGGAUGCGGAGGAGAUGAGGAUUUGAGUUUAUCAGGCUCUGUUUGAACUGCUCACGGGAUGGGGAGAUGAGCUGGGAUUUAUUCCGAAGAAGGGAUAAGGAUGCUGGGAGAUUGAGCUAGAAGAAAAGGAUGGCUUGGUUCUGUUCUUUGAACAUGGGAGGGAGAGUGACAUGGAAGCUUAAUUUCUAAGCACUAAAAGGGUGACGUGGACAUGGGUUCAGCUACAAAUGCGACCUGCACAAAUUAGUUCAGACAUCAUCCCAAUUAGUUCGACUCGAUCUGCACAUAUUAGAAUUGACCAAUAAAAUCAAGCAAACUCGAAUUAUUUUUAAUAAUGCCAUGACGAAGGGGAACACAUUUUCUUAUGUUAAAUUCACUAUAUAUAUGAAUUAAAAUAAUGAUAAGUGCUAUGAAUAAGAUAUUAAUUUAUGCAUUAUUUAGUACUUAUCACAGCCCCCCAACCUACAUUUUGCUAGUCCUCAAGCAAAAUAAAAGCUAACUCACUUUCGCAGGAAUCACGAUUGCUUUUACCGUAUGCAAUAAGGCUUUAAACCCCUAGGUGGCCCUAGUGGACGAGUUUUAUCUCGUGAGGGUUUCCGGCUCAGAUACCCAC